AACGAACGCUGGCGGCAUGCCUAACACAUGCAAGUCGAACGAGAUCUUCGGGUCUAGUGGCGCACGGGUGCGUAACGCGUGGGAACCUGCCCUUAGGUUCGGAAUAACUCCCCGAAAGGGGUGCUAAUACCGGAUAAUGUCUUCGGACCAAAGAUUUAUCGCCUUUGGAUGGGCCCGCGUUGGAUUAGCUAGUUGGUAGGGUAAAAGCCUACCAAGGCGACGAUCCAUAACUGGGUCGAGAGGAUGAUCAGCCACACUGGGGCUGAGACACGGCCCAGACUCCUAGGGGAGGCAGGAAGGGGGAAUAUUGGACAACGGGCGAAAGACGGAGCCAGCCAGGCCGCGAAAGUGAGUAAGGCCUUAAGGAUGGAAAGCAGUUUUAACCGGGAUGAUAAUGACAGUACCGGGAGAAUAAGCUCCGGCUAACUCCGUG
This 433-nucleotide ribosomal RNA is filed under the name uncultured bacterium. RNAcentral describes it as "partial 16S ribosomal RNA". It matches the Rfam family "Bacterial small subunit ribosomal RNA", at positions 29 to 507 of the family's 1533-position model. The record is from RNAcentral.